GAUGAACGCUAGCGACAGGCCUAACACAUGCAAGUCGAGGGGCAGCACGAGGUAGCAAUACUAGGGUGGCGACCGGCGGACGGGUGAGUAACACGUAUGCAACCUGCCCGUAAUCGGGGGAUAACCCGGAGAAAUUCGGACUAACACUCCAUGUAUCUGUAUUAUUGCAUGAUAAAACAGAAAAACGCAAGGAUUACGGAUGGGCAUGCGGAUGAUUAGCUGGUUGGCGGGGUAACGGCCCACCAAGGCGACGAUCAUUAGGGGUUCUGAGAGGAAGGUCCCCCACAUUGGAACUGAGAAACGGUCCAAACUCCUACGGGAGGCAGCAGUGAGGAAUAUUGGUCAAUGGGCGAGAGCCUGAACCAGCCAAGUCGCGUGAGUGAGGAAGGUUUUCGGACUGUAAAGCUCUGUCGAGCGGGAAGAAGUGUACCAUGGCUAAUAUCCAUGAUAUUUGACGGUACCGCUAGAGGAAGCACCGGCUAACUCCGUG
Molecule: ribosomal RNA, 490 nt
Filed under: uncultured bacterium
Lineage: Bacteria
Description: bacterial SSU rRNA
Rfam family: Bacterial small subunit ribosomal RNA
Source: RNAcentral